UUUCCACCGCAAAUCUGCCCCCAUUCGUAUUCACCCACAGAAGGUCAAUUUCCCCUACCACCAUCGUCUGUUAUUCCGACCUGAACCUGUUCUGACCUGUCACCCACUCGACUUGCCCGGUUUGCCAAGUCUAUCCAUCACUCUUCGUAUGGUGGUAUGCGACUCGCUCGGUUGCCAGGUUAUUGCAGUUUUGUUGUCCAUUGAAGAAGUUGAAGAUUUCAAGGAAAUGUUUAAAAAGAUAUACAUCGAUGGUUAUUCAUUUGAAGAUGGAGUCAAAAGAGAAUUAUUCAUUUGAAGAUGGAGUCAAAAGAGUUGUUCUUUUAGCCCUCAAUGGCAUUAAGUGGAGGAAUGCCAGUUAGGGUUUUGACGAAGAUUUGCAUACAUGAAGCUGGAGAAUGAUUUGCACACCACCAUGAAGCUGGAGAACCGAUUGAUCAUCAAUUGUUACUUUGUUUUUAUU
RNAcentral lists this long non-coding RNA (460 nucleotides) under Helianthus annuus (common sunflower). Its description in RNAcentral is "sRNA HanXRQr2_Chr14g0640431". Lineage: Eukaryota; Viridiplantae; Streptophyta; Magnoliopsida; Asterales; Asteraceae. The record is from RNAcentral.